GGGGGGAUAUUGCACAAUGGGCGAAAGCCUGAUGCAGCGACGCCGCGUGGGGGAUGAAGGCUUUCGGGUUGUAAACCUCUUUCGCUAUCGAACAAGGCCCGCUUAGGGUGGGUUGAGGGUAGGUGGAGAAGAAGCGCCGGCUAACUACGUGCCAGCAGCCGCGGUAAUACGUAGGGCGCGAGCGUUGUCCGGAAUUAUUGGGCGUAAAGGGCUUGUAGGCGGCUUGUUGCGCCGGCUGUGAAAACGCGGGGCUUAACUUCGCGCGUGCAGUGGGUACGGGCGGGCGUGAGUGUGGUAGGGGUGACUGGAAUUCCAGGUGUAGCGGUGGAAUGCGCAGAUAUCUGGAGGAACACCGAUGGCGAAGGCGGGUCACUGGGCCAUUACUGACGCUGAGGAGCGAAAGCAUGGGUAGCGAAAAGG
Molecule: ribosomal RNA, 420 nt
Filed under: bacterium
Lineage: Bacteria
Description: partial 16S ribosomal RNA
Rfam family: Bacterial small subunit ribosomal RNA
Source: RNAcentral